This 293-nucleotide long non-coding RNA is filed under the name Elaeis guineensis (African oil palm). RNAcentral's name for it is "long non-coding RNA (EGUI_LNC020662)". Lineage: Eukaryota; Viridiplantae; Streptophyta; Magnoliopsida; Arecales; Arecaceae. The record is from RNAcentral.
GUGUGUAUGUGUGUGUGUGGUAAAUGCCUAAGAGAAAUAGGCUACAUAAAUGCAUUAACUAUGGUAGAGGUUCUGGGCAAGAUAAACGUGGUAAUGGAAAGAAGCUACAGAGGAACAUACGUCAACUAUAGCAUAGGCUACUAGACGAGAUAAAUCAUAAAUACGACCAUAUAGGUUCGCAGUAACUAUGCUGCAGGUUAUCAUGAUAUUUAACUGCUUUUAGAAUUUGGUGGAAUAGUGCAUUUUAAAGGGACAAAAGAGGUAUUUUAUUCGAGUAGGAUGAACUAAACUGG